This 368-nucleotide unclassified non-coding RNA is filed under the name Hevea brasiliensis (rubber tree). Lineage: Eukaryota; Viridiplantae; Streptophyta; Magnoliopsida; Malpighiales; Euphorbiaceae. The record is from RNAcentral.
UCUCCUGUGAAAAUCAUAUGUUCAUGGUUCAGGCAUUCCAGAAAUGGUCGCAGCUAGCAAGUUCUACUGAUUUUAUCUUUAAUGACCUUAAGGAUUUGUUAUUGUUUGUGCACUUUUGAUCUGCCCAACUGUACAGUCAUUUGCUUGAUUGGGAUGCAGCGAUUUGAUGAGUUAUGGAUACCUUUAAGAGUUGGGCAGGCCUCCUUCAAAGCAGAAGCGCAGAGCCUGGGGAACAGCAUCAAGAACAGAAUUUGAAAUUUGACUCUUGAUUAAUUUAAUUUCAGGAAAAGAAGCAAACAUGGGCUUGUAUAAAUAGAAUCUGAGUCCAUAAAAUAUUUGAAAACAAGAAGAGCAGAAAUUCAACUCAG